RNAcentral lists this ribosomal RNA (497 nucleotides) under uncultured bacterium. RNAcentral's name for it is "partial 16S ribosomal RNA". It matches the Rfam family "Bacterial small subunit ribosomal RNA", at positions 28 to 507 of the family's 1533-position model. The record is from RNAcentral.
GACGAACGCUGGCGGCGUGCCUAAUACAUGCAAGUUGAGCGCUGAAGGUUGGUACUUGUACCAACUGGAUGAGCAGCGAACGGGUGUGUAACGCGUGGGGCAUCUGCCUUUGAGCGGGGGACAACAUUUGGAAACGAAUGCUAAUACCGCAUAAGAACUUUAAACACAAGUUUUAUGUUUGAAAGAUGCAAUUGCAUCACUCAAAGAUGAUCCCGCGUUGUAUUAGCUAGUUGGUGAGGUAAAGGCUCACCAAGGCGAUGAUACAUAGCCGACCUGAGAGGACGAUCAGCCGCCUUGGGACGGAGACACGGCCCAAACUCCUACGGGAGGCAGCAGUAGGGAAACUUCAGCAAUAGACGAAAGUCUGACCGAGAAACGCCGCGUGAGUGAAGAAGGUUUUCGGAUCGUAAAACUCUGUUGGUAGAGAAGAACGUUGGUGAGAGUGGAAAGCUCAUAAAGUGACGGUAACUACCCAGAAAGGGACGGCUAACUACGUG